This 450-nucleotide ribosomal RNA is filed under the name uncultured bacterium. RNAcentral describes it as "partial 16S ribosomal RNA". It matches the Rfam family "Bacterial small subunit ribosomal RNA", at positions 354 to 796 of the family's 1533-position model. The record is from RNAcentral.
GUGGGGAAUAUUGGACAAUGGGCGAAAGCCUGAUCCAGCCAUGCCGCGUGUGUGAAGAAGGUCUUCGGAUUGUAAAGCACUUUAAGUUGGGAGGAAGGGUAGUAACCUAAUACGUUGCUACUUUGACGUUACCGACAGAAUAAGCACCGGCUAACUUCGUGCCAGCAGCCGCGGUAAUACGAAGGGUGCAAGCGUUAAUCGGAAUUACUGGGCGUAAAGCGCGCGUAGGUGGUUCAGUAAGUUGGAAGUGAAAUCCCCGGGCUCAACCUGGGAAAUGCUUUCAAAACUGCUGAGCUAGAGUACGGUAGAGGGUGGUGGAAUUUCCUGUGUAGCGGUGAAAUGCGUAGAUAUAGGAAGGAACACCAGUGGCGAAGGCGACCACCUGGACUGAUACUGACACUGAGGUGCGAAAGCGUGGGGAGCAAACAGGAUUAGAUACCCGAGUAGUCC